GAUGAACGCUGGCGGCGUGCCUAAUACAUGCAAGUCGAACGCUUCACUUCGGUGAAGAGUGGCGAACGGGUGAGUAAUACAUAAGUAACCUGGCAUCUACAGGGGGAUAACUGAUGGAAACGUCAGCUAAGACCGCAUAGGUGUAGAGAUCGCAUGAACUCUAUAUGAAAAGUGCUACGGGACUGGUAGAUGAUGGACUUAUGGCGCAUUAGCUUGUUGGUAGGGUAACGGCCUACCAAGGCGACGAUGCGUAGCCGACCUGAGAGGGUGACCGGCCACACUGGGACUGAGACACGGCCCAGACUCCUACGGGAGGCAGCAGUAGGGAAUUUUCGGCAAUGGGGGAAACCCUGACCGAGCAACGCCGCGUGAAGGAAGAAGUAAUUCGUUAUGUAAACUUCUGUCAUAGAGGAAGAACGGUGGAUAUAGGGAAUGAUAUCCAAGUGACGGUACUCUAUAAAAAAGCCACGGCUAACUACGUG
Molecule: ribosomal RNA, 482 nt
Filed under: uncultured bacterium
Lineage: Bacteria
Description: partial 16S ribosomal RNA
Rfam family: Bacterial small subunit ribosomal RNA
Source: RNAcentral